GGUUUAACAUUAUCAACAACAACAAGAAAAUCAAGCACUACACAAGUCACCAUCAGUGCACAUGCACCAACUGCAGUGACAGGUACAACGUUUUCUCCUGCAACCAUCCGCACUGAGCCAGUCUGCCAUGGCGAAUGGUCUCCUUGGUUUAAUCAAAAUACUCCGACAG
Long non-coding RNA from Stegostoma tigrinum, 169 nucleotides. RefSeq lists it as uncharacterized. NCBI's taxonomy places the organism in Eukaryota, Metazoa, Chordata, Chondrichthyes, Orectolobiformes, Stegostomatidae. The record is from RefSeq and is a predicted model, not a curated record. The transcript has 3 exons.